This 29-nucleotide non-coding RNA is filed under the name Homo sapiens (human). The record is from RNAcentral. Lineage: Eukaryota; Metazoa; Chordata; Mammalia; Primates; Hominidae.
UGCCUCACAUCUGGUGUGUGGACCAGGGU